GACGAACGCUGGCGGCGUGCUUAACACAUGCAAGUCGAACGGAAAGGCCCUGCUUUUGUGGGGUGCUCGAGUGGCGAACGGGUGAGUAACACGUGAGUAACCUGCCCUUGACUUUGGGAUAACUUCAGGAAACUGGGGCUAAUACCGGAUAGGAGCUCCUGCUGCAUGGUGGGGGUUGGAAAGUUUCGGCGGUUGGGGAUGGACUCGCGGCUUAUCAGCUUGUUGGUGGGGUAGUGGCUUACCAAGGCUUUGACGGGUAGCCGGCCUGAGAGGGUGACCGGCAACAUUGGGACUGAGAUACGGCCCAGACUACUACGGGAGGCAGCAGUGGGGAAUAUUGCACAAUGGGCGGAAGCCUGAUGCAGCAACGCCGCGUGCGGGAUGACGGCCUUCGGGUUGUAAACCGCUUUCGCCUGUGACGAAGCGUGAGUGACGGUAAUGGGUAAAGAAGCACCGGCUAACUACGU
RNAcentral lists this ribosomal RNA (467 nucleotides) under uncultured bacterium. RNAcentral's name for it is "partial 16S ribosomal RNA". It matches the Rfam family "Bacterial small subunit ribosomal RNA", at positions 28 to 506 of the family's 1533-position model. The record is from RNAcentral.